This 1068-nucleotide long non-coding RNA is filed under the name Phoenix dactylifera (date palm). RNAcentral's name for it is "long non-coding RNA (PDAC_LNC006701)". The record is from RNAcentral. Lineage: Eukaryota; Viridiplantae; Streptophyta; Magnoliopsida; Arecales; Arecaceae.
CUCUAAGUAAUGAAGACCUCACCUAACAGUUAUUGGCCUCAUUCCUUAGUUAAGUCAGACCCACCGUAUAACCGCAGAAGCAAAGCCGUCAUUGGGUCCCUCACCUAACAGUUAUUGGGCCCAACCCCAUCUUUACCCCUACAACAUCUCAUGCCUAAUAGAGAGAUCCAGUCCCCGAUGCAACUUGCCCACUGUAUCCAGCCGAGACAAAUCAACGCCGGAAAGACCUUAGUAGCUCUACUACGGUGGAAGACCGCUAGACUUAAUAUUUUUGAGGAGAUUUAAUUUAGAUCUCUUUCAUUUAAUUAUCUACAUCUCAUGCAAAUAAUUAUCUACCCGCUAUGCAUAGACAUAAACAUAAACAAUAAGGCAUAAUCACAAAAUAACUGGCGAUGAUCAUGGAUCCAGGAUGGGGUCAUAGUACAAGCACAUGCACGUCAAUUGGUUAGAUCGUCUUCAACUCUUGACUCGAUCUUGAGCACUCUUGGUCCAAUUGCGAUCAACUCCUUGAUCCAUCUCUAAUCAACCCUUGAUCUCGAUCUGCGCAAAUCGUGCUUGUAGAGGCAUGCACCGAUCAACUAUUGACAUGCAAACACAUCACAGAUUACAUCCCAGAUAACUUUAAAAAUAAAUAAAAUUAAAUAAUACUUACAAUCCUUUUUCAUGAGACACGCAGGUCUCUAAUACGUCAAUAUAAGAUGCACGCAGGCAUCUGAAAAUCUGAUUUACAUGUCAUCACAUAACAACACAGAACAUCUCAGAUAUUGCAAAACAUUUCAGCACAAUUAAAGGGUCCAUCCAUGAUCAUCACCAAAUACAUCUCACGCAUUAAUUAUAAUUUACAGAUAUGAAUAUUUAACUGAUUAUGUCAUCUUAUGAGUUGUUGAUCAUGCAAGAUAUGAUUCUAAAUAUUUGUAAUCUCAUUAACAAAUCAAUAGAAUCAUUAAUCUAAUCACAUAGAAAAUCAGCAUGCAGAAAAAUCAGCAAGCUGAAAAUUCUGCAUGCAGAAAAAUUCAGCAAGCAUAAUCUUUAAAUUUUCAGAUCUAUUAUGCCUUAAUCAUUUAAUCC